CUGAAGGCUAGUCUGGCUUAAAACUACCAGUUUCAGCGGCUUGCAAUUUUCUCUUAUAUUUGGGUGGGGAAGAUUUUUCAGUUUUCCCUUAGAGACACUUUCCCUUGUGGGGCAUGAUAGUGUGUUCCUCGUUGCAGAAGGACCCCUGUAUGCAGAAGUAGAGGCGCUGGCCUCAGGCUCCUCCACUUCCUCUUGGACAGAAGACGCUGAGCAUUUUUUCAGGAAGUGGUCACCCCAGUGGUCCCCGGCUUUCUCAGACUUCCUGCAGCUCUCUACACAGUGAAUCACAGUGAGACACUGGCAGCAGGCACCACGGAAGGGACCCUCAAAUCUGAAGGCUCAAGGUCCUGGGAAAAGAUGAAGUGGAGCAUGCCUCUUGUUUCCUCCUAUUAGAUGCUGAGUGUUGGAAGUUCUUCCUAGGAUUCACAAAGAAACUCCUGCUCUUCUUCCACAUACUUUUUCCUGGGAAAGAAAACUUGUUUCACUGGCAGAAAAGAUCCCCACUGUUAAAGUGAGGGAAAUAGAAUUAAGCCUGGAAGAAAGUUC
This 546-nucleotide long non-coding RNA is filed under the name Homo sapiens (human). Its description in RNAcentral is "non-protein coding lnc-SP140-3:1". Lineage: Eukaryota; Metazoa; Chordata; Mammalia; Primates; Hominidae. The record is from RNAcentral.